AAACUACAUAAACAAUAACGAUGUAUAACCUCGAGAAUAUGGCUUGAGGGUUUCUACCAGGAACCGAAAAAUCCUGACUACAAAAAUGCAAUAACAUUUU
This 100-nucleotide non-coding RNA is filed under the name Heyndrickxia shackletonii. Its description in RNAcentral is "Bacillus shackletonii Guanine sequence". It matches the Rfam family "Purine riboswitch aptamer". Rfam says of the family: Riboswitches are metabolite binding domains within certain messenger RNAs that serve as precision sensors for their corresponding targets. Allosteric rearrangement of mRNA structure is mediated by ligand binding, and this results in modulation of gene expression. The record is from Rfam by way of RNAcentral. Lineage: Bacteria; Bacillati; Bacillota; Bacilli; Caryophanales; Bacillaceae.